Molecule: ribosomal RNA, 506 nt
Filed under: uncultured bacterium
Lineage: Bacteria
Description: partial 16S ribosomal RNA
Rfam family: Bacterial small subunit ribosomal RNA
Source: RNAcentral
GAUGAACGCUAGCUACAGGCUUAACACAUGCAAGUCGAGGGGUAACGAGAGGAAAGCUUGCUUUCCUCGUCGACGACCGGCGCACGGGUGAGUAACGCGUAUCCAACCUGCCCCCAACUAAGGAAUAACCUUGCGAAAGUAAGACUAACACCUUAUAAUUUCCUCAGAUGUCAUCUGACGAGGAAUAAAGAUUUAUCGGUUGUGGAUGGGGAUGCGUCUGAUUAGCUUGUUGGCGGGGUAACGGCCCACCAAGGCAACGAUCAGUAGGGGUUCUGAGAGGAAGGUCCCCCACAUUGGAACUGAGACACGGUCCAAACUCCUACGGGAGGCAGCAGUGAGGAAUAUUGGUCAAUGGGCGGAAGCCUGAACCAGCCAAGUAGCGUGCAGGAUGACGGCCCUAUGGGUUGUAAACUGCUUUUAUACAGGAAUAAAGUUAGCCACGUGUGGUUAUUUGUAGGUACUGUAUGAAUAAGGACCGGCUAAUUCCGUGCCAGCCGCCGCCGUAA